CGGACCUUCAACUUGCCUGGGGCUGUCUCUGUCCCUCGGGCGAGGGGCUCCUGGGGACCCAGGACACCUGGCCACGGGGAGGCGGGGCAUGGGGGGCAGAAAGCCAGAUGGAGCGGGUAGGAGAAGGGGGGUGCUGGGAGGAGUCAAGGAGGGAGAGAGGGGGCGUGCAUGGGGCGCGGAGUUAAGAGCCACCGAGCCUGGGCGCGGUGUGCAGGCGAGGGCCACGGCCUUCGCAGCAGCGGGGAACGCGGGGAGUCGAGGCACCCAGCGGGCCGGGGAAGAAGGUGGGGGACUCCGCGGACGCCGAGGAGAGGGCACUGCGGAGUCAGCAGGCCCUGUAGGGAGUCGGAGAGGGGCUGAGCAGAUCCUGAAGGCGGGCGGGGGACGCACCUUUCGGCGGGGCAGGGUGCCCCCGGACACGGCGAGCGCGCGGUACAGCUCGGCAGGGUGAUAGUCCUCCAGCGCCGCGUACAGCUCGUCCGCUGGGGGCCCAGGGGUGGCGGCUGCGGCAGGGGGUCCCGGGGUCGGGACCGGAGCGGCGGGCGCGACUUCCGAGUCGGGAGUCCGGGCGGCGGGGUCCGGGGUGGCCGCCGCCUCCUCCUUCUGCUGCAGCUUCCUGAGUCGGCGGAGGGUCAUGGCUCCGGCGCCGGACGCCCCUCAGAGACGGCGCUGGCUCCCCUCGGCGGGGCUGGCGGCGGCUGGGGGAUGCCAGCCGGGCGGGCCGCGGGUCGCCUCCCUUUAUAGGCUCCGAGAGCGGGGCGGGGUUGGGGGCGGGCGGGGAGCUGCCUCGGGUGGCCUCGCCCCCAGCACGGAGGACCCUCCCCGCGAGGCGCCGCCGCCCUGGAGCCCCGCCCACGGCGCUCGACGGCCGGGGAAACUGCGGGAGCUGGGCGCUCAGUGGGGGAAAACGAGCCGCGGACGCGAAGGGGCGGGAUGAGGCCCCCGGGGCGGGGCUCGGGGCUCGGGGCUGCGUGAUACCUGGAGGGGUCUGUGAAGGGACAUUGCGCAAGGUUUGAAAUUUAGGGACGAAUAGCUCUGGCGAUUCAUGGAGUGGGGCACGGUAAGAGGUCACUGUAAGAAGCCUGGGGAGUCGGGGAGGUAGGGAGAGUCACGGAGAUCCAAGGGGCUGCAGGAGACUCCAGGGCAGGGAGAGCGGCAGCGGGGCUGCGCAGGAGUAGGGGUGGAGGCCCGAUGGAGGAGGGAGGAGACUCCCUGAACUCACUGCGCAGAAGCCCCCAGGGAGGGAGAGGGCCCAGGAUUUUCCCUUGACGCAGCUGCCCCAGAAGAGCUGAAAGAGGCUGCCCCCUGUUCGCACGUCUAGGAAGAAGGGAAGAGGUGGAAACCCUGAAAGCAGUAGGCUUAGUUCUGGCCUGUCCCCUCCAAGGGGCUUGAGUGAUCCCUGCUGGAAAAAAAAAAAAAAAAAAAAAAAAAAAAAA
Molecule: long non-coding RNA, 1436 nt
Filed under: Homo sapiens (human)
Lineage: Eukaryota; Metazoa; Chordata; Mammalia; Primates; Hominidae
Description: TAMALIN antisense RNA 1 (TAMALIN-AS1)
Source: RNAcentral